UUUUUCUURACACAGAGAAAGGGCACUUAUCAAAUUUGAAAAGUUAUGUCCAAUGAAGCAUUCAGGUGUUCUAGGGUGAUCUUAAAAAAAAAAAAAAAAAAAAAAAAAAAGCAAGUGCACCAAGCAGACAUCAGAGUAUUAUCCAAAAGAACUGAGUAACUGCUGCACUUUCACCGAGCUGUGGGUAACUCUUGGUGAGUAGUUCCUCUUUGUGGAAGCACUUGCUAUACAGAACUGCCAAAGUAUGUGUUCAGCAAUGUGCCCAGUUUUAAAGCUGUAAAUGGGACAAAAUAAAUUGUGAAAGGAAGUGUAGUUGACUGAAAACUACAGUUGUAAUAAGUCUUCCACUUUUUAUAGGAUUUUUGAGCACACAAUUAUGCAAAUGUUUUAAUGUUUAUUAAUGUUUACAGUGGAAUUGUGAAUAGGUUUUCAGUGGACUAUCUUAUCCCUUGACAAAAAUAUUUUGUCUUUUUUCUAUGUAAUUUCAGAGUUUUUAUUUUGUUACAAAAAGACGAAAAAAGAAAUAUAUAACAACAAUGAAGUUAUUUAACAAGAUUUCUAAAGCUGAAAUUUUUGUGUAAAAUAAGGUAUCUUGCAACUUGUUAAAUAUAUUUAUUCAGACAUUGGAUGUUGUAUUUUUAUGUAUUUUUUAAAAUAUUAAUAAAAUUGGAAAAAAAAAAUUCUAGGUUAGUUCACUCUUUGGACAAAACAUCCUUAUCAGUUCUGGCUCUUCAGGAGGAGUUAUCCAGUAGCCAAGCCUGUACUUCCAAUGGGUCUGUCUACAUAUCCUCCACCACACAGAUCUGCCAGCAGGCAUCUGGGUUAAGCUAAAACUUUAUUUGGAAACUUUGGCAGUCCUAGUACUUAACCUUGUUUGGAGGAACAAAAUUUAUUGGGUUGCCCUUAAGAUGCUUUGUCACAAGUUCUUGUGUUUGCUGUACUGCCGAAUAAAUUUAUAUCUCCCAAAGUUGAGAUGCACCAAUAAAGUAAAGCAACUGUGUGUGCUCUGCCUGUGGAUUGUCCCACGGGCAGAUGCAGUUUGUAAAUAACUCUUCCAAACCCAUGUAUUUAAAGCAGUUUGCAUAUACAUUAUGUAUAAAAAGUGAUUUUUUUAAUCAAUUUUUUUAUUCAUGUUUGUACAUUGAAAGGGGGCCUGAGCCCCUUUUUCUGUGUUUAAUAUGCUGUAGAGUAAUAACAUAGAUGCUCUAGACUGUAUAUCAGGAUAUUCUGGUUCCACACGGCAGAAGGUCAGGAGGAAACACUAGUGAUGGCGUAGCAUUACUAAAAUUGAUGUUUCUUGAAAUUUCAUUUUACAACAUUUGUCAACUUGUGAUUCCAAUUCCUUCCAUUUUCGCAGAGAAUUAAAGAAAAAGUACUCUUGUAAAUGCACUUUUUCUGUCUUUUCUUAAGCAAAGCAGAACUAUUUCAAUGUAAGAUAAAUAUGGAGCUCACUAGACAGCGCUAAUAAAGGCCAUGUUUUAAACAUAGGCUUUAUAUUCUAUUUUUAUUUAAGUGAUUGUUCUUGUAAAUGUCUGGACUUUAACCUAAAUAGGAAAGUUAAUCUCCAUAAAUUACUGUAAAGACUUUUUCAGAACUAACUUUUACUGUUAAUCUUAUAAUAGCUACGAAUAAAAAGCAAUAUUCGUUKAAAAGGAAGUAACAUGGGUCACAUGUUUAAUAUUUGCAGAAGCAGAUCUAAAAUCUGGGGAAAUAACAGGAUUAAUCACGUGUUGUGCAGAUCUCUGAUAUCUAACCUGUGUGCACACUGUGAGAUCUUGAACAGGCACGGAGGAUGGAGGAUCUGUGCCUCAAAGUGGAUGUUCCCACRUGUGCCCUCAGCUGGCUGCUGCUCCCUGUCUCUUAGGAAUGUUUAAAACUCUGCUUGGAAGGCUCCAGCUUCCUUAGGAGGAAAAAAAAAAGUGGGAUCCACCACUGUUAAAAAGAACAGGGUUGUAAGAGAAUCAGAUUCUUCCCUCAUUUCCUGCAUUUGAUACAAAGAACUGUCAGAUUUCUGGCAGAUAUCUUAUCUUUGUGUUAGCAUAUAUCUGAAAGAUGGAAAAACUUUGAAUGUUUCCGUGCAAGGACAUAAGGUAAGAUUCAUUCCCAUACUUGUUUGUUUUCACUUUCUUUCCGUCCAGUUUAUCAGCUACAUUUGUACUAAUGAGUUUUGAUUUUGUAAUGUGAAYGUUUAGCAACACCCUGUUAAAUCCCUGCUUGUUUUUGGCUCCUCYGUCAGGUUACUGGUGGCUGAGAAAGUUUCUUCUGCUUAAUCAGCCUGAACAGAUCAGGCAGGAGAAGCARAGUUGUCAGAACAAUAAUAACAAGUCAUUGUUUUGACAGAGGUUAAGCAGAUUUUCAGUAGCAAUUAUCAGUGAAUGAAAAGCAUAACAAGGGCAAAGAAAUGUGUGACUUCAUGAGGAUGAUGUAUCUGACCUUCACAGGGAGCAGCAGAAAAGGUGAUGCUUUUGUGCAUGCUUGAAUCUAUUUUUUUAAGGUGCACUAUUAGAAUAGACAGAAUUUUUUUAAAUGGUUACAUAUUCUCAUUUUUUGUAGGGGAAGCCAUGCAGUAAUGGCUACCAAAAUUACUCAGGAUGGCUUUGAUGUGGAGCUGGAAYGAGAAUCUGAAUCUAAGGAUUGUCAACUCCUGUGCCUCAGUCAGAAUAUCCACUGCUGAGAGAGCCUUCUCUCUCCAGACAGGUUUGUCAACCAGAUGGAAUAUCUCCUUAAAGAAAGCUAAUACUUUUAUAACAUUUUCUUCUUUUCCCCAUUAAAAAUACUCUUGGAUAGCUGAGUCAGCCAAAUGGAUUUUCUGGGCAGCAUUUACUGGAAUUCCUUUACAGCAGUAAGUCUAAGAAAUGCUGUUGUUUUCUUUUUAAGAAAAGAGCAGGUUUAGUUUGAUGUCUUAAAAGAAAUCUGACAUGAGCCAGGAGCCAGAUUUACCAGCUGAAAUAAAAGAUGAAUGUGUUCACAAAAGUAUGUUGGGCUGUUKACUUCACUUCUGCCUUUGCAGAAAUUAUGCACUGAAAUCUUCGUUAUUUUUCCUUYUCUGUUCUUUGGAGUUUAUUAUUUGCUGCAGUGUGCAGGAUAAAGGUUCUGGAGAUGUGGGGAACAUAAUAAAACAGUGGAACCAAAGGGGAUGUUGCCAGAGGCUGAGUCACUGUCAUUCCAGGGCUUAGGAAAAGGACAUUUUAUAAUUAGCUCACACUUCUAAGCUACUGCUUGCAAAUUUUGAGAAAAUCUGUCAYUCUCCCAUAUUUCCUCACACCAAAUAGGAUGGGUUUUUAAGAGGUCUCAGAGUUUAAAAUAAUUCCCCUUUAUUAGUUACCACUGAGUAGGUGGGAUUUAUUUGGGAUCUUCUGUUUGCUUUGGAGACCUGUGAGUUCCCCAAAUUCCACAAGCAUUUAUUGGUCCCAUCCACUGCUUUGAAGGAAUAUGUAAAUUCAGUUUUUGUGUUCCAGUGCUUUUGGUCUGAAUUUGUGUUUGUUUUAGUGCCAGUGAGUAGUGGGGUUUGUGAUUAGCCACAGCCCAGUGACAAAUACUCACUGUGUUGWCAUUUAAAGAAAACUGGAAGGAUAAAACAGUAUUAAUUGUGAAAGCAGAUUUUCUAAGAAUAGGACUUGUCUAGUGUUGUCUUUGUUUGGAAUUUCCUUUUCUACUUAUGCUGCUAUUCCUGCUCCUUCCCAUUGCAGAGAAACCCCAAAUUCUGGCUCAAAGCAGGUUGGUUCUGCUUCAGCCCUGCAGCUGUUUACAUUGGUUAACACCCUUGUGCUGUUGCUUAUCCCAUCCCAAGAGUUUUCGAACAUGAAGAAGUGUCUUUGUUUGGUGGCACUUGGCUUCAGUUCACCAGCACAGCUCACUCAAUGCAGUAACCACAGAAGCUUUGCAUCACUUUCUCUGUUUCAGUGUUUUGCCAGCAGAGAAAACCUGCCCUGGAGCUGUGCAGGUGCUUGUCACUCGUGUGUUUAACUCUCACCCUGAGCCUGUUGGUGAGGCACUCACUGCUCUGGGUUGGUUGCUGUGGCUUUGGUGUUGUUUCUCUCCUGCUGUUCAGAACAACCCAACAUUUCCAUUCCAGCGUUGUCAGUGUCUUCAGCAUUUCCUAAACUCCUCCUCUAAUCCCUCAUCUGGGUACAGCUUGACCCAAUUUACCAUGUUCCUGCCAGCUCUGCCAGUUUCAUAAGGAGGGGUUAGAUGUGGAAUUUGUAUGAAACACUUUGUUAUAUUGCUYAAGAGUGUUUUUUCUUUCUGUUUUAACAAGACACUUGUUUAUGUUUAUGUGUAUGUGUAGCUUAAAAUCAUCUCUCUUGAUGCUCCUUUAUUUCCCUUAUGAAUAAAUAAAGCUAUUUUAAAAGGAAAAAAAAAGUGCCCCAAAAACAAAAUCCCCAAACCYUUGAUUCCUUCUGUGCAUGCUCUGUUUCCCACCCUCCUGUGUGCCAUUCCAGGAGCUUGGGGGCAGUGGCUGCCCUCAGGUGGGCAGGAGAAUCCCUCUCUGAUAAGGAAAUGUUUUGGCAGUGGUACAGUAAGAGGUACAGUUUUUUCCUGGUCUGUGCAGGUAUUUGAAUGUGUUUGACUCAGUAUGUGAGAGCAGCCUCACUUAAUCCUGUGGGAAUAAUUAUGGAAUAAUGUUAUCCACAGGCAGUGCAGGAGUGAGCUGAUUUUUGUGACUGUCAUUUGGCUGCUGCUGCUGCUGCUGCAGUGCUCCUUGUUUGAUCUUCUCUGGAGAAUCCUGAACAAUGCUGAUUGAUCUGAUGGCUCUGCCAGCACUGCUGCUGUCCCGGGCACUCUGGAACAAGGCUCUCAUUUGACCCUUCCUGCUGAAAUGGUUCUGGUUUCCGUGGGCUGCCGAGUAAUUGUGUGUGUUUCCAGAAGGAAGGAUCCGUGUUCCUGUCGCUGCUGCAGUGAGCAUCUCCUCCAAAUGAGUGUCUGUUUACCAGCUCGGUUUCAUUGAGCYGGUUUUUGGCAGGCUGCCCUCCUGCUCCCUCCCACCUCCACUCACUUUUUUCCACAGCUUUCUCAGUACUCCUUCCUCAGCAACAUUCCAUUUUYCACCCUUUGCUCCCUCUUCCCUCAAAGCUGGGUCCAUUCCUGCACCUAUUGUGCCUCAGCAAGGUGAUUCACCCCCUCGUGACACCCGUUAACAGCAUUUAAGAAAAUUCUGUUGUCUUUCUGUUAGGGUCCAGAGUAAAACCAUAAUCCCAUUUUUAUUAUUUAUCACUUGGAUGCUUUAGUUACCUGAAUGCACUUUGUUUCCAAGCUAAAAUAUAUUUGUAUCAUCUGUAUGCACCUGUCAUCUGGAUUUAAAAGAUCACAGCAUUUUUUUUGGAGUGAAAUGUAGCUUGGACAAAAUGGGUUAUCCAAACCUG
Malurus melanocephalus (red-backed fairy wren) is the source of this 5363-nucleotide long non-coding RNA. RefSeq lists it as uncharacterized. Lineage: Eukaryota; Metazoa; Chordata; Aves; Passeriformes; Maluridae. The record is from RefSeq and is a predicted model, not a curated record. The transcript has 3 exons.